CUGAGUAUUUUACUCUCAAACCCAUGUGAACCUACCACUGUUGCCUCGGUGGUUGGCCGCAGAUCUCUCUCUCGGGGGCGAUCUGGGGUUAUAGCCACCGGUGGACUACUUAAACUCUUGUUUUUAGUGUCUCUCUGAGUAACUAUAAAAAUAAAUUA
RNAcentral lists this unclassified non-coding RNA (158 nucleotides) under uncultured Sordariomycetes. RNAcentral describes it as "sequence contains ITS1". Lineage: Eukaryota; Fungi; Ascomycota; Sordariomycetes. The record is from RNAcentral.